Molecule: ribosomal RNA, 468 nt
Filed under: uncultured bacterium
Lineage: Bacteria
Description: partial 16S ribosomal RNA
Rfam family: Bacterial small subunit ribosomal RNA
Source: RNAcentral
GACGAACGCUGGCGGCGUGCUUAACACAUGCAAGUCGAACGGAAAGGCCCUGCUUUUGUGGGGUGCUCGAUUGGCGAACGGGUGAGUAACACGUGAGUAACCUGCCCUUGACUUUGGGAUAACUUCAGGAAACUGGGGCUAAUACCGGAUAGAAGCUCCUGCUGCAUGGUGGUGGUUGGAAAGUUUCGGCGGUUGGGGAUGGACUCGCGGCUUAUCAGCUUGUUGGUGGGGUAGUGGCUUACCAAGGCUUUGACGGGUAGCCGGCCUGAGAGGGUGACCGGCCACAUUGGGACUGAGAUACGGCCCAGACUCCUACGGGACGCAGCAGUGGGGAAUAUUGCACAAUGGGCGGAAGCCUGAUGCAGCAACGCCGCGUGCGGGAUGACGGCCUUCGGGUUGUAAACCGCUUUCGCCUGUGACGAAGCGUGAGUGACGGUAAUGGGUAAAGAAGCACCGGCUAACUACGUG